GGAGACUUGGGAUGGGACUUCUCCUGCAAACCCUGUAUAAGAAAGGUUGAGGUAGAAUAGGCUAGUAAACCGACCGAACUCGGAUGGAAUUUUGGAAAGAUUAAAAUCAUUGUAGGCAAGGUUGAGUUUUUGAAGGUGAGGAAGAAGGAAGAGAGUGGUAUUGGAAGGGAAGUUGCCAUAUAGCCAACUGCAGCUCAAGUCAAGGGCAAUAACAUGAGCAUUUAGGUGGUCACAAGUGACCCCAUCCCAUGAGCAGCAAUCUGUACCCUCCUUCCAUGAAUUUGUCUUGGGAUAAGAUUUAAGGCCAGCAUAAUCAUUGCAAUAAGAAGAAACAUCCUCUGUUACGGAAAAAGAGUCCUUAAACUGGAUUAGGGAAGAGCAGGAGUGAGAUCCUGAAGAAGAAAAAGAAGCAUAAAGAUGGGGAAAGAAGAGGAAUAGGCAGAGAAAGAGAUAGGGGGCCAUGUUAUGUUUGUAGAGAAAGAAGAAGGAUAGGAAUGGUAUUUGUAGGCAACAAAUAGUACCACAACAUUGGUGUUACAGUAUUUUUUUUUUCUUUUACAUUGAAAAGCUAUGGAUAUUAGAUUUUCAAAAAUUUUGUAUUUUUCACCAUCAUCAACAACCACUUAGUCUUCUUUUUACCAUAUAUUUUUCAUUCUAUUUUUUUAACAAAAUCUUGUAUUUCAUUUCAGCUUUCAAAACAACUAAAAAAUUUAAAAUUGAUGAAAUUACAAAGUAGAUUGACUUAGUCUUCUUUCCUAUAACAUUUAAAAGAAUAUCUUGUCAACCAAAGUUAAUUAAUGUGAAAAUUCUUUUUCACACAAAAGAACAAAAUUGUGCUCUAUUCACUAAGUUAGAGGAAAAAGACUGCUAGAUUUUUUAAUUAUUUUUUCUUUGAAAAAUUUGAAAGUUUUUUACUGCCUUUAAGCCAAUAAAAAAAACAUGUAUUAAUUUUGUUUUUAAAAAUAGUGUGUUUGAUUGUGAAAUGAUUCAUCAUCCUCCACCACAAACUAUCCAUAUUUGCAGUGUGAAAGCAGCUACUUUCAUAAAGAAAUUACUUAGGAGAUGGGAUCCACCAAUUUUACCUAAACUCGCAUCAACAUUGUUUAGCAAUUUCAAAAUAGACUAAUUAGUCUGGUUCAAAUACCAAGACUACAAUAUCUAUUCACUUCACUUGGUCUUGCUUCCUAUCGCUGUCAGCCAAACUUGAUCGACUAGCAGUAAGGAAAUUUCAGUCAUUUGCAGCAUAAUGUACAAGAAUUCCACUCCCGCAAAAUAAUUUACAAUAUGGACUAACACACUAAAAAUGAUUUUUAAAAAAUGAUUUUUAGAAAGUAAUUUUUGAAAAAUGGUUAGAAGAUAAUUUUUGUUUCUGAAAUAGUUAAUUUUUUUUGGUGUUUAGAUAAAUUUUGUUAUGUUUUCAUUGUUUACUUGAGUUUAUUUCAUAAAGCUUAUGUAUAUAUUUUAAUUAAUCAUGUUUUAGUUUUAAUUAAUCUUAAUUUACUUAAUUAAGCUUAAUUGUUAACUUCGUACAUUAGAAUAUAAAUUUAUGUUUAAUUAAGUUGAAAGUGAUAAAUAUUUAUUUUGAAUAUUAUUUGGAUAAGUUGAAAAAUGAUUUAAUUUGAUAAAAUUGAAGUCAGGGUCAUAGAACUAUGCUUUUUACUGACAAAAUCUUAGAUGCAGUGAUUAUUGAGACUAAAAAAUGAAAGUCAUGAAAGAAGACAUAAAUAGUUGAACCAUACAAAAUGUUACAUUUUGUAAUGCAAUGAAAUAUAGAUGAAUUGUUACAAAUAUAAAGACAGAUGCAUUGCAAUGCAACCUUUCUCCAUAGGAAAAAAAAUUUGACAGACUUCAAAACAAGAAAUUAUGAAGAUACAACAUACACACUUGAACAUCAUUUCCACUAACUAGAUCCUUCUUCGUCCAUUGCUGCGACUGCCAUCCUUUGACUUUCUUCUUCGCUACUUCUCAUGUUGGAUUCAACCAAAUUCACCAACCAUUUUGGCUUACUAAUUUGGAAAACAACAUAUCCCACGACCAUUCCAAACACUACUCCGCAUCCAUAACCUAUCAACACCAAUUUCCAACCAAAAGAGAUGUUUGAUUUUGAACCAUCUUUUCCAAGCACAUUUGGAGGUGGUGGCUCAAUGAUGUUGCAACCUUUUGAGACCGGAAAUCCACAUAAUCCCUUGUUUCCUUCAUAUGAAUCAUUUCCAUAUGUGUUGAACUGUUUGCCUUGAGGAAUCUGACCAUGGAGUUGAUUUUCAGAAACAUUGAAGGACGAAAGAAAUGCCAGAUCUGCAAAUCUAUUUCGAAUUGUCCCUGACAACCUGUUUGAAUAUAGGUCCAACCAUUCAAGACUCGUCAAAUUCCCUAUUGAAGUGGGGAUACCACCGUUAUAAACACUGUCAUAUGGCAUGAAUAACAUACUCAUAUAUUUACUGUCACAUGGCAUGAAAAACACACCCUCAUAUUCACUUUCACAUUAGUCAUCAUAAGCUUAUAACAUAUGUCAUAGCAAUCUCAUAUAUAUUCAUAAUUUCACAAUUUCACAAGCGUACAUAUAUCACAUUUAAUCAUAUGCGCGAGAAAACUUACUCUCACUUACUCUUGGAAUUUAGAGUAGGAAUUUAGGCUACCACUAAAUUCUCAUCAAUUAAACAAUGAAUCAUCUACGAGCAACAAUUUCAAACCACAAUGAAUCGAGAGCUCAAACUAGCUCUUCCUCUAACUCGUAGAAGGCUUUAAUGAAUCCGAGGCUUCACACAUGACAAUCACACAAUACUCACAGUCAAAUGACAGCCAAGGACCCACUUAAACUAACCAAAAUAAAAGCCUAAGCUACCUUCUAAUGUAACCAAACCCUUUAGCAUGACGAACUUAAAAUGCAAAUAUAUCAAUCUACACUUAAACAUUUUCACAUGAAACAAGUUUCAGUCAUCCCCCAUAUUCAUUUAUAGCUAAACUCCAAUCUUUAAACCACACAAAACUACAAGUUUCAAGGUAUAACAUUUUUCCACAAAUUUUGACCAUAAUAAUGAAAAUUCAUUAAAACACGGGAAAUCUAUAAUGAAACUUAGAAGUAAUUUUAAAAAACUUCUAAUUAAGUUAAAACAAGUUGAAAAACACUUUUAAAUCACUUUUUCAUCCACAAUCUCGAAUUCCACCAUUAAUGACCCAAUUUUUAGGUUUAAAUUAAAACAUGCAAUUUCAUAACUAAAAUCUCAAUUUUAAAGUCUAGAUAACAUUAAAAACUAAUGAGAAAGUAAAUGGUUACCUUUGAUGAAAGAUUAAACGAGUUUUGAAGUAAAUUUGAAAAACCCACAAUUGAAGAAGAAGAUGAAAUCUAUGGCGUUUUUGAGUGUUUUUCUUGGAAUUAUAAGAAAUCAAAGUACUAUUGUUUGGGAAUAAAAAUUAAUUGAAAGAUCAAGGGAAUAGCAAAGGACGGCAAUAGCAAACUUUGGAGAGUAACUAUUGUGAAAUAGAACAGGGAAUGGGGUUUAUUAGGUUCAAUUUAAAACAUUGGUAAAACUUCAAUCUAAGUGCUCACUAUUUUAACUUUGUUACAAAUUAGUUCUUUUUCUAAAUUUUAGGUAUUUAAAACUCAUUUUCAGAAAUCGGCUCAAUUCCCUAAUAGCCAUUGUCGAAAACAUUAUUGAAUACUAACCUUACGAAAUUUUGAUUACAUAUAGGCUAAAAUUCCUAAAAAAAAAUUGAAACUCUUAGAUCCUAUUUUGGGGUGUUCACGUAUGGUCAUGAUUCAUGUUGAAUUAAUACAUCAUUCACCGUAAUAAGGCUUAUCGUUGUAAUAAUUAGUUAAAUCACCUAAUAUCUAAAAAAUUAUUAUUAUUUUCAUAAAAUCAUUGAUCAAAUUAUUGUUUUCAAAUUUCAUACAUAAAAUUAACAAAUAAAGAUAGCUCUAAAUAGCAAAACCCAAUAUGUGUAACAAGUAUUUUUAUUAAUCCAUUUGGAAUGUUAAGGUUUGCUGGAGCAAAUAAAUUGAUUAAUGCUUUGAACUUUCCAAACACUUUUUAUAGUUUUGUUAUAUGCAUUUUGUAUAAUUAGUAUAUUUGAAUAUAUUAGAUACAUCGUCUAAAACAAUGCCAAUUGUAAUUUUUUUAUAUUUUGUUGAUCAUAAGCGUAUUAUAUAAAUAAUUUAAAAAAAAAAAGAUGGAGUGAUACAUUUAUGUAGUGCUUAUGAAUAUAAUGUUGGAUUAAAAUCCUUAAUUAUGAGUACAUAUGUAUAUGCUUGAUAUUACAAUUAUCUUAAUAAUUUUGUUUCUGUUCUUGUUGAUUGAUGAUUAUAGAAAUCAUUAUUCUUCUGAAGGCAUACUUUGUUGUCAAUGACAGUACCUGCACCCUAAAAAAGUCACCAGCUUUAACGACUACAAAAGUUGUCCUGCCUGAUAUUUAUUAAAAAAUCACCAGGAAGCACAUUGUCAGGACAUCCUUGCUGGAAAAAAACUUGGUAGGAUGGUUUUUCUGUGCAAACUUAGUAAUUAAUUUAUGUUGUUUUUACCAAACUUUGUAGCGUUUCACUUUUGGUAAAAUUUCAUCCUUGGUCCCUUUAAACUCCUUUUUGCUUUAAUUUGAUUGCUUUCUAGCGUUGCAAAUUACAUAACACUCUUCAAAUGUCUUAUUAAAUUCUCACUUUUACGAGUGCUAUGUUAAUCAAUUUUAAGUUCCAUAUAACACUUACAUGGCUACAAAAUGUGUGUGUGUGUAAGUGUCCUCAACCACAAACAAUCCAAAUUUGCUGAGAAACCACCCAUUAUAUAUAGGUUUGCCAAUGAGAUGGCAAGCAGACUGCUAGCUAGAAAUUCAUGCAUCUUUGAAUCACCAAUUCAAUUAAUAAGCUUAACUAGAGGAAAUAAGGACUUUACACCACCAAUUAAAGCAACCUAUAUGUACCCUUUUACAGUCUGCAUUGUUCCAUGUUUCCAUUCAUUACAUCAUUCCUUCAACUCUGCUAUAUAUUAUUACCGUCUCCAGAAAACCAAACCUUUUACUGCUAACUUGUAAAAAAAUUAUGAAAAUACAACAGAGAUCAUUGAGACAUUGUUGAAGUUGGCUUGCAUGCAGACCAAGAAGCACACCAAGCUGUCCGAGAUAUGCAAGUUGCAGCUGAAGCUUAUGCUGCUGUUUUGUUACUUUCAAAUAGAUAUUUUAUUAUUUACUUAGAUAUGAACUAAGUUGCUGAUAUGCUUGAUGUAAUUAGGAGCUGAUAGAUUGAUAAAUCAGCUUUACCAAGUGUACAAGCAAUGUUUAUCAAGUUACUAAGCCACUUAGUGGAGUUAGGUAUGUGUUUAGGUAACAUUUUCUUAUUUUUGACCAGCUGAUUGCUUGCUAUAUGUAAUGGCAUUGUGCCUUCAUUCAAAUGUAAAGAAAUCUUUCAGAAAAUUCUUCUUCAUUUGGUCUUUACCUAAGCAUUUUUUUUCACGAAGCUCUUGCUGUUUUUGUUUUGUUUGUUGAGCAAGAUAACAAUGCUUUAUGCUUAAGUUUCUGUCAAAAUUUCUCAUUCUGUUUUCUUAGUUCCUACAGACAUUUUGUUCUCCUUUCUCCUUUACUGAGCAGUAGCAAAGAUUAUCGAGACUAAAUUGAAAUCCAUGAAAGAAGACAUAAACAACACCACCAUACAAAAUGUCACACUCAAACAAACCAUUACAGAUACGAAAUGCAAUGAAAGACAGAGGAAUUGGUACAAUAAUAAAGACAGCCAGAUACCAAUGCAACCCUUCACCAUAGGCAAAACGGUCUACAAACAAGAAAUUAUGAAAAAUACAACACUAAUUCUUGAACAUCAUUUGCAGUAAUUAAAUCCUUCUUCGUCUACUGCUGUGAUUGCCUUUCUUUGACUUUCUUCUUCGCCUCUUCUCAUGUUGGUUUUCAACCAAAUUCACCAACCAUUUUGGCUUACCAGUUUGGAAAACAACAUAUCCCACGGACAUUCCGAACACUACUCCGCAUCCAUAACCUAUCAACACCACUUUCCAACCAAAAGCAAUGUUUGAUUUUGAGCCAUCUUUUUCAAGCACAUUUGGAGGUGCUGGAUCAAUGAUGUUGCAACCUUUCGAGACCGGAAACCCACACAGUCCCUUAUUUCCUUCAUAUGAAUCAUUUCCAAAUGUGUUGAAUUGUUUGCCUUGAGGAAUCUGACCAUGGAGUUGAUUUUCAGAAACAUUGAAGGACGAAAGAAAUGGCAGAUCUGCCAAUCUAUUUGGAAUCGUCCCAGACAACCUGUUUGAAGAUAGGUCCAACCAUUCAAGACUUGUCAAAUUCCCUAUUGAGGUGGGGAUAUCACCAAUAAGGUUAUUAUGAGAAAGGUUGAGCCCUUUCAGUAAGUUAAGCUUCCCAAUAACCUUUGGAAUACCCCUUUCAAACUGAUUGUUUGAUAGAUCAAUGAUCAUCCACAUGGUGAAAAUUUUCACCAAUUCCCUAUCUUGUCCUUUCAUAACAAUUCCAAUGGAAUAGGUAUAGAAGCCAACUCCAUAAUCAUGCACCCCCAUGUAUGACACUGUACUACCAAUCUUCUCUAGAUUUAUGAUAGCCUUGAAGCUGUUGAUGUAUCUCACUGGUAGGGGUCCAGAAAAAUAAUUACUUGAGAGAUCAAAAAUUUGGAUUUUAGAGAAAAAAGGGAUAGACUUGGAGCUAUUGACACAUAAGGAACCAUGCAGUUGAUUUGACUUCAAUACAAGAACUUGUAGCUGUGGAAGACUUCCCAACCAGUGAGGAAAUGUAUCAUUGAUCUUGUUGUUACCAAGAUCUAGCACUUCCAGACCUCUACAAUUAAGGAUGGAUGGUGUCAAAGGCCCUUCUAACAGAUUUCCAUUUAAGUUGAAAUUACUCAAUCGGCAUCCCUUUGCAAAUGCUGGAGGAAUCGUCCCAUAAUACUUGUUCUUCUUCAGAUUCAAGAAUAGAAGGCUGUUGCUCAAAUUUCCAAAACAUUGUGGAAUUGUUCCACUCAAGUUAUUGUGGGACAAAUCAAGAAUUUCAAGAAAAGCGGCAUUGCAUAUUAAAGAAGAGACCUCUCCAUUGAAACUAUUAUUUGAGAUCAAAAAGACUCUUAUGGUCGAAGCUGGAAUCGGAAGAUUUCCACUGAUCAAAUUGGAGCUUAAGUCAAGAACAUCAAUAUUCUUCCAUGGAAAGUGCUCAACUUCUGUCAAAGUGUUGUGAGAUACAUUUAAGUGAGUCAAAGAGCCAUUCCCCACCUCUCGCAUCCACUGUGGAAUCUUGCCUUCAAUUUUGUUGCAAGAGAGGUGUUGAAGUAAUGGUCAGCAUGCAGCAACCAAGACUGUCAAAGGCACUACAUGCAGAAGCUGCUGGUUCACCUAGUCAGCAAGCUGUUUAUGUUUCAUUUUGUAAUUUUAAGUUAGAGUAAUGUAACUUAGUUGCUUUAUAACUAUGUUAGGUUUAUGUUUGAUGUAAUUUUGAUGUUGACUGAGCUGAUAAAUCAGCUUUGUUUGUUUAUUCAAGCUAAUUAGCACAAGUUACUAUGUGUAUUAGUGGUAGUAGGUGAAGUUUAGGUCAACCUACUGUUUUGUCAAGAUUGUAAACUUGUUUUAUGUAUUGGCUUUGUGCCAUAUUUAGUUUGAUGAAUGAAUUCAAGAAGUUAUCAUCCAUAUGCUCUCCAUUUUUAGUUUUGCUUAAAAAUCCAUUUGAGUUUUCUGCUUUGUUUCUCCUACAAGUCACGAGACUUGCCAUACAAGCAUUCUGCUGAAGCUUGCUGCUGCUGCCUCUUGCACCAACAAUUGGUAUCUAGAGCCACAUUCUUAGAGGACCUGUUGUAGUUCAGUAUCAAAACGAUGGCAUCAUCAGGUUUUUCACCAGCUUCACCACCUGUCUUCAAUGGAGAGGGCUUCAACAUUUGGGCAGUUAAGAUGAGGACUUACCUGCAGGCAUUCGACCUAUGGGAAGUUGUUAACUCAGAUGCUGAGCCAGCACCUCUUCGAGCUAAUCCAACAGUUGCUCAAAUAAGGCAACACACUGAUGAAAGGACAAAAAGGCACAAGGCCAUGUCAUGCAUACAGAAUUGUGUGACAGAUGUGAUCUUUAUGAGGAUCAUGGCCUGUGAGACACCAAAGGAGGCUUGGGACAAGCUGAAAGAAGAAUUUCAGGGGACUGAGAAAACAAGGCAACAACAGCUGCUCAAUUUGAGAAGAGAUUUCGAAAAUCUCAAAAUGAAAGAGGAAGAAACAGUUAAGCAGUACUCAGACCGGAUUAUGGCUGUUGUAAACAGCAUAAGGCUCCUAGGAGAGCAAUUCAGUGAAGCUAGAAUGGUUGAGAAAGUCAUGUCCACUCUACCAGAGAGGUAUGAAGCUAAAAUUUCAUCCCUCGAAGACUCAAGGGACUUGACAACUAUCUCCUUAACUGAGCUAAUCAAUGCCUUGUAUGCAUAAGAGCAAAGAAGAGCUAGCAGACAAGAGGAGCACCAGGAAGGGGCUUUUCAAGCCAAAGAAGCCUCGAGCAUCAAAACUCAUAAAGGCAAAAAGUUCUGGAAAAACAAGCCUAAGCCUGAUGCUGCUAGGAGCAGUGACCAACUCUGCAGACAUUGUAAAAGAGCUGGUCAUCCAGAAGAUAGAUGCUGGUUUAGACCAGAUGCAGUAUGCCAAAACUGCAAGAAAAAAGGCCAUGUUGAAAAAGUUUGCAAGAAUAGAAGCAAACCAAGACAGAAUCAAUUUCAGCAACAAAAGGUGGAAGCUCGAGUAGCUGAAGAAAGUAGUGAUCAAGAAGAACAUGUUUUUGCUGUGUCAUGUGCAGCAAAUCAGAAGAAGGGUUCAAAGGGCUGGCUUCUAGACAGUGGGUGCACAAACCACAUGUCACCAGAUGCAACUAUCUUCAAAACCCUGGACAGAACCUGCAAAACCAAAGUAAAAAUUGGAAAUGGUCAGUUAAUCAAUGCUGAAGGAAGAGGAGAUGUGCUGAUUCAUACUUCUACAGGUGGCAAAAUCAUUUCAAAUGUACUUUUGGUACCUGAAAUCGAUAGGAACCUUCUCAGUAUAACUCAACUACUUGAGAAAGGUUACUCAGUUGUUUUCAAGGAGAAAGAAUGUCAAAUUUUUGAUCCAAGUGGAUCAAAUCUUAUAACAGUCACCAUGACUGAUAAAUGUUUUGAAGUAGACUGGCCAAAUGACUCACAUUCAGCCUGCAUAGCCUCCACUAAUGACUCGAGACUCUGGCAUCAGAGGCUUGGACAUGCAAACUACAAAUCCAUAGCCCGCAUGGUCAAUGAAGGUCUGGCAGAAAAUUUCAUUGAUUCAGUGAAGAAUGAUGAGCUUUGUGAGAUAUGUCAGCAAGGAAAAUUGGCAAGAUUGCCAUUUCCAACAAGCACAACAUGGAGAGCAUCAGAGAAGCUCCAGCUUGUGCAUACAGAUGUGUGUGGACCAAUGAAGACUGAGUCUCUCAAAGGAAGCAGGUACUUUAUUUUAUUUAUUGAUGACUUAACAAGAUACUGCUGGAUUUAUUUUCUAAAACAGAAAUCAGAAGUACCAUCUAUGUUCCUGAAGUAUAAGGCUGCUGUUGAAACUGAGUCUGGUUGCAAACUUAGAGCAAUGAGGUCAGAUAAUGGAACUGAGUACACCUCAGCUCAGUUCCAAGUCUACUGUGAAGAAGCAGGUAUCAAACACCAGUUGACUAAUGUGUAUACACCCCAACAGAAUGGGGUCAGUGAAAGGAAAAACAGAAGCUUGAUGAACAUGGCAAGAUGUCUUCUGUUUGAGAAGAAUUUGCCCAAAAGUCUGUGGGCUGAAGCUGUUAACACAGCAGUUUAUCUCUAAAAUAGGCUCCCAACCAAGGCUCUGGCUGAGAAGACUCCAUUUGAAGCCUGGUUUGGGUUUAAGCCAUCACUGGCUCAUCUCAGAACCUUUGGUUGUCUGUGCUAUACUCAAGUUCCAGCUGAGAAGAGAAGCAAGCUAGACAAAAGAGCUCAAGCAGGGAUCCUGAUCGGCUACAGCUUGGUUAAGAAGGGCUACAGAAUUCUAGAACCUGCUACAAACAAGAUAUUGGUUAGCAGGGAUGUUGUUUUCAAUGAAAAAGGACACUGGAAUUGGGAGAAGGCUGAACCAGAGGCAGUGGCUGAAGAUCUGGCAGUGGACCAAGUUGAAAAUGGUGAAAACACACCUGAAAUGGAUGUAGAUGAUGUUCCAAUCAGAGGCACUCGAUCACUGGCUGAUGUUUAUGAAAGAGCACAAGUGGCUACUGUUGAACCAAAUUGCUUUGAAGAAGCAGAAAACCAGGAGGACUGGAAGCAAGCAAUGAUUGAAGAAAUCAGAAUGAUUGAAAAGAAUCAGACCUGGAGUCUGGUUGAUAAACCAACAAACAGGAAGAUUAUUGGUGUCAAAUGGGUUUAUCGAGUAAAGAACAAUGCUGAUGGUAGCCUAAACAAGUUAAAGGCUAGAUUGGUUGUGAAAGGCUUCAGUCAAAGGUAUGGAUCAGACUACCUGGAAACCUUUGCACCAGUGGCCAGGUUAGACACUAUUAGACUGCUAGUUGCCUUAGCAGCACAAAAACAGUGGCUGAUACACCAACUUGAUGUAAAAUCAGCAUUUCUGAAUGGAUUCCUUGAAGAGGAGAUUUAUGUGGAGCAACCUCAAGGUUUCAAGGUGUCUGGCAAAGAAGAUAUGGUGUACAAGCUCAACAAAGCCUUGUAUGGCUUGAAACAGGCUCCAAGGGCCUGGUAUAGCAGAAUAGAUGGCUAUCUGACCAGUCAAGGAUUUGAAAGAAGUCUUAGCGAGCCAACUCUGUAUGUUAAAUCAACUAGUGCUGAAACUCAGCUCAUUGUCUCAAUAUAUGUCGAUGACCUACUGGUGACAGGAGGAGAUCAUGAGAUGCUAAGCAGUUUUAAAGUCAAAAUGCAACAGCACUUUGAAAUGUCAGACUUGGGAUUGAUGUCUUACUUCUUAGGCAUGGAAGUAACUCAAGCUAAGAAUGGGAUUUGGCUAAGUCAAAAGACCUUUGCUAUGAAGGUUCUCAACAAAUUCUCAAUGGAGAAUUGCAAAGCAACCAGCACACCAGUUGCUGUUGGAGAAAAACUCUCGAGCCAAGACAAGCAUGAAAAGGUUUGUGAAACAACCUAUCGAAGUCUAGUUAGAUGUUUGUUGUAUUUGACUGCUACUAGACCUGACAUAAUGUAUGCUGUGAGUCUACUCUCGAGGUUUAUGCAUUCUUCAAAUGAAAGUCAUUUUAGAGCUGCAAAAAGGGUUCUAAGAUACAUCAAAGGAACUUUGUCCUAUGGAAUGCAGUUUACCAAGGCUGAGAACUUGAGGCUAGUUGGAUAUUGUGACAGUGAUUGGGCUGGUUCUUUGGAUGACAUGAAGAGCACUACAGGUUAUGCAUUCAACAUAGGCUCUGCUAUGAUAUGCUGGAGCUCAAAGAAGCAAGGAGUAGUGGCUCAGUCGACUGCAGAAGCAGAAUAUGUGGCUGCUGCUGCAGCAGUCAAUCAAGCCAUAUGGCUUAGAAAAAUUUUGAAAGAUAUCAAUCAUGAGCAAAAGGAAGCAACUGAGAUAAUGUCUGACAACCAAUCAGCAGUUGCUAUUGCAAAGAAUCCUGUUUUUCAUGGAAGGACCAAGCACUUCAACAUCAAACUUCAUGCAGUUCGGGAAAUGGAACAAGCUCAUGUUGUUAAGCUGAUACAUUGCAGUUCUGAAGAGCAAAUUACUGAUAUUUUAACAAAAGCACUAAGUGUUUCCAAGUUUCAACACCUGAGAGCUAAUAUGGGAGUUUGCAACAUGCUAACCAAGGAGGAGUGUUGAAGUAAUGGUCAGCAUGCAGCAACCAAGACUGUCAAAGGCACUACAUGCAGAAGCUGCUGGUUCACCUAGUCAGCAAGCUGUUUAUGUUUCAUUUUGUAAUUUUAAGUUAGAGUAAUGUAACUUAGUUGCUUUAUAACUAUGUUAGGUUUAUGUUUGAUGUAAUUUUGAUGUUGACUGAGCUGAUAAAUCAGCUUUGUUUGUUUAUUCAAGCUAAUUAGCACAAGUUACUAUGUGUAUUAGUGGUAGUAGGUGAAGUUUAGGUCAACCUACUGUUUUGUCAAGAUUGUAAACUUGUUUUAUGUAUUGGCUUUGUGCCAUAUUUAGUUUGAUGAAUGAAUUCAAGAAGUUAUCAUCCAUAUGCUCUCCAUUUUUAGUUUUGCUUAAAAAUCCAUUUGAGUUUUCUGCUUUGUUUCUCCUACAAGUCACGAGACUUGCCAUACAAGCAUUCUGCUGAAGCUUGCUGCUGCUGCCUCUUGCACCAACAAGAGGUCUAAGCUUUCCAAACUUUUAAGCCCUUUUAAAAAUUGGGGGAAUUCACUAAGAUUGCAAGAUGACAAAAAUAAGCUUGUAAGAUUAACAGUAGAAGUUGUAUUAGAUGUUAAGGAUAGGCUGUUAUAUGAAAGGUCAAGAUAUUCGAGAUUUGGAAGGUUUGAGAACAUGCGAAACUCUAUGACACCACUAAGAUAAUUUGAGGAUAAGCUAAGUUGGGUAAGAUUGAGAAGUUGGAAUAUUGAAGAUGGAAGAGGACCUUGGAGUUUAUUAUUCUCUAACCAUAUCCAUUCUAGUGAUUUGGAUUGGAAUUCUUUGAUAUGCCCACUGAAUUGAUUUUGAGAGAGAUAUAUUGUCUUUAAGGAGGGAGCAAUAUACAACCAUGACGGAAGUGUUCCAUUGAGUAAAUUGUCAGAUAAGUCUAAAUAUAUUAGAUUAUGAAAAGCGGUUACCUCAUCUGGAAUGGAACCUUCUAAAGAAUUGUUAGAUAUUGUCAAGUAUUCCAGCUGCGUUAGGUUUAGAAUUGACAAUGGAAUUUGUCCACUCAAUUUGUUCCAUCCCAAGUCUAAAACAGUGAGUUGCAAGAGGUUCCCCAAUGAUCUUGGAAUCUGUCCACUCAAUUGGUUCAGCCACAAGUCUAAAUGAGUGAGUUGCAAGAGGUUCCCUAAUGAUCUUGGAAUUUGUCCACUCAAUUGGUUCUUCGACAAGUCUAAAUGAGUGAGUUGCAAGAGGUUCCCCAAUUUUCUUGGAAUUUGUCCACUCAAUUGGUUCUCCGACAAGUCUAAAUGAGUGAGUUUCAAGAGAUUCCCCAGUGAUCUUGGAACCAGUCCUGAUAAGUUGGAAUGGGAGAGAACUAAAAACUUCAAGGACACAAGAUUCCCCAUCGAGUCAGGCAAUCCUCCACAAAUAUUUGCGUCUGAAAUUAUCAAUUGUUCAAGAUUGCUGCUCCGAUUGAACUUCAAAGGAUCAAGAUUGAGGUUUUGGUUGCCUCCCAAGUUGAGGAGAUUGAGGUUUGGCAAAUCAAAAAUGUUUUUUGGGAAUUUUCCUUGCAAAUCACAACCAACAAGACUGAGAGACCUUAGAGAAGAGGAUAGAUUCAUGAAGACAUGAGCAUUAACUGAAGACAUGUCCAUUUCAUCCAAAAACAGACGUCUGACCUCGGUUAGGUUGUGAACAAGACCCUCCAGAGCAUAUUUGUCAAUUGUUAAUAGUUCAUCAAACCCAGAAAGAUCAAGUGAAACCAAUUUUGACAGGUGGGAGACUUGGGAUGGGACUUCUGAAAACCAUGUAUUGGAAAGGUUGAGGUAGAAUAGGCUUGUAAACCGACCGAACUCGGAUGGAAUUUUGGAAGAAUUAAAAUCAUUGUAGGCAAGGUUGAGUUUUUGAAGGUGAGGAAGAAGGAAGAGAGUGGUAUUGGAAGGGAAGGUGCCAUAUAGCCAACUGCAGCUCAAGUCAAGGGCAAUAACAUGAGCAUUUAGGUGGUCACAAGUGACCCCAUCCCAUGAGCAGCAAUCUGUACCCUCCUUCCAUGAAUUUGUCUUGGGAUAAGAUUUAAGGCCAGCAAAAUAAUCGCAAUGAUCAAAAGAAGCAUCCUCUCUUAUGGAAAAGGAGUCCUUAAACUGGAUUAGUGAAGAGCAGGAGUGAGAUCCUGAAGAAGAAAAAGAAGCAUAAAGAUGGAGAAAGAAGAGGAAUAGGGAGAGAAAGAGAUAG
RNAcentral lists this long non-coding RNA (13943 nucleotides) under Gossypium barbadense (sea-island cotton). RNAcentral describes it as "long non-coding RNA (GBAR_LNC016767)". The record is from RNAcentral. Lineage: Eukaryota; Viridiplantae; Streptophyta; Magnoliopsida; Malvales; Malvaceae.